UGGACCUCAGAUCAGGUAGGGAUACCCGCUGAACUUAA
This 38-nucleotide ribosomal RNA is filed under the name Lagenulopsis bispora. RNAcentral's name for it is "partial 28S ribosomal RNA". The record is from RNAcentral. Lineage: Eukaryota; Fungi; Ascomycota; Eurotiomycetes; Coryneliales; Coryneliaceae.